AACGUAGGAGACAAACGUUAUCCGGAGUUACUGGGCGUAAAGCGCACGUAGGCGGCUUUGCAAGUUAGAGGUGAAAGCCCGGGGCUCAACUCCGGAAUUGCCUUUAAAACUGCAUCGCUAGAAUUGUGGAGAGGUAAGUGGAAUUCCGAGUGUAGAGGUGAAAUUCGUAGAUAUUCGGAAGAACACCAGUGGCGAAGGCGACUUACUGGACACAUAUUGACGCUGAGGUGCGAAAGCGUGGGGAGCAAACAGG
RNAcentral lists this ribosomal RNA (253 nucleotides) under uncultured bacterium. Its description in RNAcentral is "partial 16S ribosomal RNA". It matches the Rfam family "Bacterial small subunit ribosomal RNA", at positions 524 to 776 of the family's 1533-position model. The record is from RNAcentral.